UUAAUGGCCUUUUUUAUUGUGCAGAUAUUCCCUUAAUCCGUAUCCGCCAGGGUAACCCUGCACCGGAGUUGAUUGGGGCAAUUUGAAGAAGAUGAAGAAGUAUCCACUUUGUAGACGGGUUUAUUUGGAGCAUUGCCGCGGGGACUGUAAUUGCAGAUAUAGAACUGUUUGUAAGGAUGUCCGGGCGUGAAAGGAUAGCCGUUGUAAUCAUCGUAAUAUCCAAUGGCUGCACAACCGACGUGAGUAGUUUCAGCCCAAACUAAUUGCGUAUAAUGGCCAAUUACUUUGCCGUUAAUCGCUUGGCAACUCCUGCAAAAAGAUAAAUUCAGGUAAUCUGAUUAGAAAAAUUGCCCCUAUGAAGAGGUGUCGCUAAAUACUUGAAAGAUACGACACUAGCACAAUCCAUGUAGUUGACCUCGUUGAACCAGCCAUCUUUGCCAUUGAUGACACUGGCCCAGUCUGUCGUGUUCCUGGGUUGCCGACUGAAACUCAUAUGCAAAUUUUGUCCAUAAUUAACUGGAUCUGGCUCUGUUCUGUGUCCAUUCCCAGGCAGCAUUAGCCAGUGCAUCGUCCCAUUUCUUUGCACACAAAGAAACGUAUUAGGCAACUCCAAAUUAUACAAAAGAACAAGAAAAGGUAUGCAGGAAUAAUUUAAUUUUCUUGUUACCAAAUUAGGCAUGGAAAUUGCAGGCGGUUGGGGUCCCGGUGAGCCUCGUUGCUCCCGAUGCGACGCCACCUUGCGUCUGAGAUGAUUGUGAAGAUCCAGAAUGAGUUUCUUGUCUUCCUCAGUGGCUCUUAGAUCUUUAAUGACAUCUUCUUCGCCAUUCCGAAACUGCUGUUAACAUAACGCACAGAAAGUUGAUUAACUUUGCAUAGCACUGACAGCCUAGAAAAAAAUUACGCAAUUGGCUUGUUGAAAACGAGCAUCGGACUCAAUAGCAUCACUUGAAGGUAUUGGACGAGGCGGUUCCGGAUUGCAAUAAGCUGGUGGAUCUUUAAUCAAGACAUCCUGACUGCUCUUACUGAGUCUCGAACUGAAGGAAAAUAGCAGAGUUUUAAACAGCCUCUGGACCAUGGUAGUUGUGCUCUUUUGCCGACUAUUCAGUGACUGGAGAUUUGAUUCCCUUUUUAUAUUCCAACCGCAUGGAGACGGACUACCCUUUAAUUGCUGGAGGGCUUGCCAUUAAGUGUUCCCAAUACGGAAAUAAAAUAACCAACCCUUGUGACCCACAUAUCUCCUUAGUGACCAAAUCUUUUGGGGGAACUGAUUUAAAGUGGAAACUGUACCACGUUUGACAACUGGGUUGGAGAAACUUUACAUUUUUUAAACAAAUCGCCACAUGCCUACGUGUUCAUAAUCACGUACGAAUCUCAGUCGAGAUCUCAUUGCUCCCACAACCAGCCAUAAUUCAUGAAUUAAAAAAAUGGGAAACCGGAUCGCGAAUUAAGGUAACCAAAUAAAUGGAUCCUUUUCAAGA
Long non-coding RNA from Daphnia magna, 1478 nucleotides. RefSeq lists it as uncharacterized. NCBI's taxonomy places the organism in Eukaryota, Metazoa, Arthropoda, Branchiopoda, Diplostraca, Daphniidae. The record is from RefSeq and is a predicted model, not a curated record. The transcript is spliced from 4 exons.